GAGUCGGACCUUGCGCACCUGUAAUUCGCCCACUGGCUCCUGGUAUUGCCCAUACGGCCCAGUUGUUGGGUGUUCCUGGUCAUUAUUUGAGACUUCUACAUACUGCAAAGAAACAGCAGGCAAUACAAUUCUGCAUGCCCAAAGUCACCACUCUGUUCACACUAUCAAAGCUGUGCCAAUGGGUAAGAGGAUUAAGGCACCCAGAAACUGCAGGUUAGGAUUCUUUCACAACUGUGUAACAGGUCUCCACCGAAACAGGCUGUCAGAGCUGCCGAGAUUCAGACGGACAAAAAACGCUGCACGCAAUAGGCAUUGCGCUAACUCUAUGAUGAUCCAGAGAGCUCCAGCAGGCUGUCCUCUGCUGGAACAGCCUCCAGAGGCCGUGAACAAGAUCUAAGACUAGACCGAAAC
Molecule: long non-coding RNA, 411 nt
Organism: Bufo gargarizans (Asiatic toad)
Lineage: Eukaryota; Metazoa; Chordata; Amphibia; Anura; Bufonidae
Exons: 3
Source: RefSeq, a predicted model, not a curated record